RNAcentral lists this small RNA (123 nucleotides) under Marmota monax (woodchuck). Lineage: Eukaryota; Metazoa; Chordata; Mammalia; Rodentia; Sciuridae. The record is from RNAcentral.
GCUGGGCACAGUGGCGCAUGCCUAUAAUCCCGGUGGCUUGGGAGGCUGAGGCAGGAGGAUCUUGAGUUGAAAGCCAGCCUCAGCAUGUGAGGCCCUCAGCAACUUAGUGAGACCCUGUCUCUA